This 208-nucleotide long non-coding RNA is filed under the name Phascolarctos cinereus (koala). RNAcentral describes it as "lncRNA (ENSPCIG00000023272.2)". The record is from RNAcentral. Lineage: Eukaryota; Metazoa; Chordata; Mammalia; Diprotodontia; Phascolarctidae.
GCUCUAUCCACUGUGCCACCUACCUGCCCCUGCACUGGAGCUUUGAGCUGGGGCACAGAGUCUCCUGCAGGACUCAGGUCUGGGCCGGCUGAAACCCAAUGUGCUAGUCUUGGAUAUAAGCAUGAUUGGCAAGAGGUGCCCACACUUGCAAUAAAGGACUACAUGUUUUUGGACUCUGAAGGAAUGGAUGCCUUGGAGAAAGGGGUGG